RNAcentral lists this long non-coding RNA (298 nucleotides) under Gallus gallus (chicken). The record is from RNAcentral. Lineage: Eukaryota; Metazoa; Chordata; Aves; Galliformes; Phasianidae.
GGGCGCUCAGGAACCAGCAGUUUCCCAGCAGUCCCUGAAGGAUAUCCGAGGGUCUGGGUGUGCGGAACACUGACCACUUCACCGACCGGUCUUUGAAGAUGUUGCAGUUGAUUUCAUGGGGCCGCAACCACUGCUUCACCCUCUGCUGCACGCUGUCACCUUCUGGGAAUCCCACAGAUUUGGGGCCAGGGUGGAAACUGUCAUCUACGAAAUUGACUUUGUUCUCCCUGCAGAAGGUCACGAUGUUCUCCCACAGGGCCUUGGCCUCUCCUUCAUCUGUCUGCCUCCUCUUUUCCAC